UUGUGAUUCCAUUUGAGGUGUCACACUUGGGGCACUAGGCACUCUAGCUUCAUGAAGACUUUCUUCUCCAAAGAGGUAUGUAUUCUAUCUUGCUAUAGUCAUUGUUUUGUAUGCUAGAUUAGGAUAAUACCUUGGAAGUUCUUAUUUGCAUGUAUAAUAGAGAAAACAUAGAUCCAAGGUAUUUAGGGUUGCAUGUACACUUAGGAGUGUUAGAAUGCUCAAAACCCAACAGUGGUAUCAGAGCCUAGGCUUGUUUUCUUGUUAUACCUGCAAUAGAAGCUGAAAAAACGAAUCUGGUGCUGUCUGGCCAUCAGACUCGGCGAGUCCAUCAGGAGACUCGACGAGUCCAUGCCUAAAAAGUGAUGAAUUCGAUCCAACUCGCCGAGUUUGUUCAUGCACUCGACGAGUUGGACCCCCAGACAGCAUAUUUUCGAGUUUUUUGGCUAGAAAUGGACUAGGAACAUUACCCUAAGUUGUUUUUGAUCUUAUAAACUUGUUUUUGAUGUGGUAAUGUUCAUGCUAAUCCAUUUUCAAAGAUAAUUGUCAAUAGAUUCAUGUUUUGUAUUAGUUUAAGGUUUAGACUAAUUACAUGAAAAAGUUUGAUUUGAAUUAUCUUGUUCUUAUGAGUUGCUUAGAUUAAUAGAAAUGUUGAGUGAAAUAGUUGUUUUCAAUCCAUUUUAAUCUAAGAGUUGAGUAUAAAAUGUGUUUGUGUAACUUGUCCUCAAGUUACAUGAAGAGUCACAUUAAAGACUCAUAAAAUUCAUAAGAGUUGGCAAUGGUUACAAAAUGAAGAGUCUUGUGUCAUUGAAUAAUUUUUAUGACUCCAUAACUUGUCCUCAAGUUAUGGAAGUUCAAGAGUCACUUCAUUAAAGAAAAAUAUGUAACCAUAAUUAAAUCCAUAAGUUAUAAAAUAAAGAAAAAGUUAGUUCUUUUAUUAGUUUAAAGUCUUCCAUAACUUGUCCUCAAGUUAUGGAACUUGAAGAGUUUUUGGAUUAAAACUACUUUAAACACAUAAGUUAUGGAAUUAAUUAGUUUUGAAUAGUUUCAAAACUUGCCCUCAAGUUUUGGAAUUUGAAAAGUUUUCAAGUAUGAAUACUUUAAUUCCAAGUUAGCCCUUAGAAUUUUAAAAGUUAAAAUUCAACCCUUAUACUUUAUAAUAUUAUAAGUUAAUAAUAUAUAUAUGUAUAAGAGUAAAGUCAGUCUUACCGCUAGUACGCCUCAUUCACGAAGCCGGUCUAUAAGGUGGGUAUAAGGUUGUUGCCUAUAAAAUGGCAACUUAAUGGGUGUCCACUCUCACCCACCGCUUGCUUGACUGGUGGAGGGUCGUUAGCCGAACGGGUUUGACAGGACUAGAAUUCUCCCUUCAUUAAAAGUAUUAAUGAUAAUACUAAGUAACUAAACUCUUAAUAAUACCCAAUCUUAGUUACUUAGGAAAAAUGUGAAUAAGGUGCUAAUCCAUGAAAUUACACUUUACACUUUGUCUAAGUCGUUAGUGGAGCGUGUGUGGUUAACCGGCACACUAACUUGGACUUAACAAGGUAGGUAAAGGGUGACUUAAUAUUUAUCAUAGUAUCGAUGGAGCGUGUGUGGUUAACCGGCACAUCGAUUGAGGGGUAAUUUAUUAAGGGUACCAAGUGAUUUGCAUGGUUACUUCACACCUUGUUUUGUGAUCCUCGGCAUCCCAGUCACAAAACCUGAAGGGCACACUCGAGAUUGAAACAUGCCUUUGAAAAGUUCAAUGAAUCUCAAAGAUCUAGGAGUUUCAAAACCAAUUAAAACCUAAUAAUACAUUUCGUUUAUCUUGGUGGAAAUUGGUGAAUCGUCAUUCACCUACCUUCAAAUAUUUUAUAGCUUGGAUUACGGCAUACCUCUUCUAAGUUAUAAAAUAGUUUGUUGGGUCCUAGCCUUAAUAUUUCAUAUUGGGUGUCAUAUUAAGGACUUUAAAUCAACUAUCUUGAAUAUCUCCCAAAAGAUGUCUGGUUUAGACACCUAUGAUCUUCCCAAAUCUCUUGAAACAAGGUUUCCUAAUGAAGAUGAUGUCCCAUGGAUAUCAUACUUCUUCACCUCUUCAAAUUAUUCUCCCUAACCCACAAGUUCUUGAAAAGUUUAAGGUCACUCAGGCCCUAUUGGCAAGGCAAGGUCUAGGUGUGGUCACAUCUUGGAGAUGUAGUCACAUAUUGACAAGCCGGGAGAGUUGGGUGUCAAAGUCUUGAGAAAGUUGGUGGUUCAACCACUUUCUAAGUCACAUAGUGAGUUCCUUUGGGACACCUAUGAAACAGACUAUGACAAGACCCUUAAUGAUCUUAUCUAUUUGCUAAGAUCAACUUCCUAAAACUUUAUGGACAUUGACAAUGAUGACAUUGGAUAUCCAGUAAAGCAUUCUCUUCCCAAUGGAAAGGGAUCGGCCAUAGUCAACUCGGUUGACCAAAUGGUAAAGAGAAAAGCUAAGUCUGUGAUAGUCCCGUGUACCAUUAUCAAAGGGUCCAUAUGUUUAUAUUGCCAAAGGAAGGGGCAUUGGUUGCGAAGCUGCCAAAUUUACCUAAGGAUGUUAAAGUCAAUAAGUUUGACUCUACUUCAGGUAAAGUCCACUAUCUAACUCUGUUAAGUUUCUAUUCUGAGAUUCUUGAUACAUGAUGUGACUGGGUCACAUGGUGAUGUUUUAAGAAUCAAAGAAAAGUGAAGAAACUUAAAGAAAGAAUAUGCUGAAUCUGAUGGCGUAGAUGGAUUUCUAUCGCAUAGUUUGAAGAUCGGAUUCUUGAGCUACUUCUUAGGAGUUAUGAGAUAUUGCUUAGGAAUAGAUAACAACAAGUUUUCAUAUGGAUUGUAAGGAUAAGUUUUUCCGCAAAGUUUUAAAAUAAAAGAAAAUUUUUUAUUUUAUUUAUUUUAAAAUAUCCUUACAAUGGCAUUUGAGGAAAAAUUGUUGCUUAUAUGAUUCCAUUAAGAGCAAGAGUGGAAAUAUGAAAUUGAUUCUUUCAUUUGUGGUAAUGUCUAAAUUUACCAAAUAAGGAAAGAUUCUCAUCACCCAAGUUUCAAUUGGACCGGAACUUGGAAUCAUGCAAGUUGUAUAGCAUGAUGAAUGAGAACUUUCAAGUUUUGGAAAAUUAAGACUAAUUACUUGUUCACAUGGAUGUGUGAGUCAAGUAAAGGACUUAGGGAUCGAGUACACAUUCUUGUGCACUGAUUAAGUCCACCACUAAAGAUCGAUAAGAAGAAUCAAAUAAGGCAGAAGGAUAAAAGUUUCUCAAAUCUGAAAAGAUGGGAGAGUACUUUAGUAUCAGUUUUGUGAUCAUCUUAAUGAUUAAGAAACCAUAUCAAAAUUAGUUCUCUAAGGAAAUCUUAGUGCAUUCUUAUGACUAAGAAGAGGAACUUGAAUUGUUGAAAUGGUUAAAUCAAGAAGAUGAGUCAUACUUCGUUCCAAUACAAGUCUUAGAGUCAUACUCCAAGAUUGUCAUUUGAGUGACAUGUCUUAAAGAAGGUUUAAAACACUUGUCAAAUGUAAGAGUAAAAGUUUUCUACUCUUGUACAUUUGAAAUUGGUAAGUUGUGAUGUUUUGGAUAAAACAAAGACCAACUUAGGCCAAUUGGGUAAAGUGUUUUUCUUGAUUAGAAUCCGCACUAUCUCUUGGAUGUUUGACAAGGGAGUCUUAUAUGUCAAGAGGACAGUGGGAGUCUUAAAGGUCUUGAAAGUCUCAAGAAAUAAUCAAGAAUAAAACCUAAAGUUCUUCACUAGCACACGACUUGAGGUUUAUAACCUAUCGUGUUGACAUAUCUGUGCCCAUUCCAGUUAAAGUUGGCUUUGCAUAUGAGUUCUUAGAGUUCUCAGUUUGUUGCAUAACAACUUGGAAGCAAUGGCAGGCCCUUGAGCUGCCAGGUGGCAAGAAGUUAAGAUUGAGUUCAAUCCAUAUGGUUUUGGAUUUGUCAUUAUCUUUGUCUUGUGAUUAUGGUUUGACAAAUUCAUAUGGGUAGGAACUCAUACACCAUAUAAAUCUAAGUGUCAUAAGGUUUCUCUCCGAUUCAUGAAAAUGAUGGUGAGGAAACGCUUUCACUAAGUAGAUUUUACGAAGAUAUCAAUUGUGUUAUUUGCAUUUUCAAAAGUCGUUAGUGGAGCGCGUGUGGUUAACCGGCACACUAACAUGGACUUGUGAGAAAUGGCAAAUGCCUAAGCAAUUGAGACCAUGAUUACGGUAUCCCUUUUCAUGGUUCUUGAAAUUGCUUAGACACACAGGUGAGCUAUCUACGGAAAGGGUGUAUGAAUCUAAAUUUCAGACUGUCCAGCUGAUUUCUGAGUACAUGUCAAAGCUAGUGGGAGCAUAAGUGUUAUGCUAAUAAUCAUCAUGUUAGUGGGAGCAUGAUAAUUAUGAUAAGUAUUGCAAGUUAGCAAUGUUAAUUAUAGAAAACAAAAGUUUCAAUUGGGAAAAAGUUGUUUUGCUAUAAUUAAGGGAGAGGAAAUUAUGCUUCAUCUCAAAUCUAUAAGCUUAGAUCGUGAGGUUUUAAUCAUUUAGUCAAGGAUAUAUAUGAAUUUCAUGUUGGAAUGGCUCAACAUAAGGAAAUUCUGUAUAUGGGUCCAUUAUUUGCGUUCUAAAAUUCGAUUAUGAUUACGGCAUCCCUUUUCAUAAUCUGAAUUAUGAGAACUUGGCAAAUUGAAAUGGAAAUAUUAUAGCAAAAGACUGGUUUAGUCUUUAUGUAAGACAUCAUGAAUCGUGUCCCAUAUGCUUCGGAUAUAGGAUCGAUUACAUGUGCUAUAUUCAUCCGUUCUAAAAUUUUCCAAAUGCCUGGGGCAUUAAGAAGGGAAAAGGUUUAGAACUGGAUAUGACUAAAAGGAUUAAACAAUUGUCGAGGACAAUCUAAGGUUUACCAAAGAUUGGUUACUCAAGGACAAUUGGAAGUAUAGUGAUAAUUCUGGAAGGACCAUAUUGACAUAAUCUGUAAGGAGGCAACUCUUGUUCAGAAGUGAUAGUCAAAAUGGAAUCUGGAAAUGUUUCAAAGUUAGAAUUUUCAAUCUGUGUAAGAUUAAGGAAACUUAAUGCAAGAAGGAUAUUUCCAAGGAGUUGAUCUCCUUUGGAAUACUCUGUAAUGAUUGUUGCCAAGUCUUUGUGACUUUGUGCAUAAUCAUUACAAGAGGAUCAAUGCAUAUAAGUUUAGAAUCUAACAGAUUUCAGUAAAUGGCAUGAAUUUGGAAUUCUUGCAUUUGCAGUAAGGAUUUGGGAGUGUGAAAAGAGAAUCAUUGAAGUUAUGUUCAAUUGAUCUAGUUCACAAAGUAAAGAUCAUAGACAAACAUAGUAUGCAUACUUGGUGUGUGGCAUGACUAGUGUUUAAGAAAACAUAGUGUACAUGCUUGGAGCAUGGGACAACUAUUGUUUUAAAUUCAAGAAUAAAGUUGAUAGCUGAAACAGUAUACAAUGAAUAAUGUGUAAUCAUAUGGUGAUAAAUAAAAGGUGUUUUAUUUAUGUUCAAAGGGUUGAUACCAUAUUGGAUUCAAUUAUUAUUGUGUUUCAUUUUGCAUGUUUUGACUUCCCGAAUAAACUGGGUUAUUCUUCCGGAAUGACUAAGUUAUUCAAACCAUCCACAGUCGGUCAUAUGUUGGAAGUAGAUAUGAAUUAAGACUGUCAUGGGUUGGCUUGUAGAGGUCUAAGGUGUUGGACAAAGGGCUACAACACUCAUGAGUGCUCAUAAGUUCUGAGUAUUGGAUUCAACCCGCGCUCAUUGGAAUCACUUCAUGGAUUUUAUCACGAGUGAUCAUGAGACGAUAAUAUCUUAUAUUCUUCAAACCUAGAGAUAUGAGUUGUUACUAUGAGUUGAUAGUACAUUGAUUGCACGAAAACGCAUUUGGUAACUCGGUGCUAUAAAACGUGCCUUUGUGUAUGAUUCAACAAGUAGUAGAACAAGCCAUAUGAGUCGAAGUUUAUCCAUUCCUUUUACCUUCGGGAUAAAAGCGAUAUCUGUGGGCCCCUCGAUGAUUUGAUGAUGACAAAUGGAAGUGCUCGGCCGGGCCAGGACUGAUUUGAUUUGUUCAAUUAGUCAGUCGUCAUAAAUCGGAAAUCGGGAAACAACAAAUGGACAGAGAGAAUGAUUAUAAUCCAUGUCUCAGUCCAUAUGAUAUCUAGAAUGGAGGAAUAUAUGAUCCCUUAUCUAAUGGACAAGUCAUUGACAAAGGUCAGAGUUCAUCUACAAGGUCAGAGUUCGACAGAAGCUUUUGAGAGCUACGAUUGCCAGUUGGUUCCUGAAGUCAUACGCAAUAAUAGUUUUAGACUUAUCCAAGUGGGAGACUGUUGGAUUAAUGUCUAAGUCCAUAACUAUAAUUGGUAAGACUUGACCCGACCCGGCAUGGUCCAUUUGGGUUGCAUACCAUCAUGCACUUGGAUAGACUAUAAUGAGAGAAAUAAGACACUUAUGGUUAUUAAUAUAUUAUAAGUUCUAGUAUAUUAAUAAUAAGAAUAAUAAGAUUAUUUAAUUAGUAUUGAUCAAGAAUUAAUCUAGGAUUAAUUAAGUGAUCAAAAGAAGACUAAUUAAAUAUAUGGGUUGGUUGUGUAAAUCAUCCAUACUUGUAUAGUGGGCUAAUGCUCCAUGGAUAAUCAAGUUGGGCUAAAACCCAUAGGAUGGUCCAUGGAUGCUCCAUGGGGUAUUUGUACCCAUGGAUCAAAGGAAAAGNUACUAGAAGGGCUAGCCGAUUUCAUGAAGUGUGGGUUUUCUCUCAAGUCAUUCCAAGUGUUUUGAUGAUUGUGAUUCCAUUUGAGGUGUCACACUUGGGGCACUAGGCACUCUAGCUUCAUGAAGACUUUCUUCUCCAAAUAGGUAUGUAUUCUAUCUUGCUAUAGUCAUUGUUUUGUAUGCUAGAUUAGGAUAAUACCUUGGAAGUUCUUAUUUGCAUGUAUAAUAGAGAAAACAUAGAUCCAAGGUAUUUAGGGUUGCAUGUACACUUAGGAGUGUUAGAAUGCUCAAAACCCAACAGGUUC
This 6952-nucleotide long non-coding RNA is filed under the name Lactuca sativa (garden lettuce). RNAcentral describes it as "long non-coding RNA (LSAT_LNC004003)". The record is from RNAcentral. Lineage: Eukaryota; Viridiplantae; Streptophyta; Magnoliopsida; Asterales; Asteraceae.